This 490-nucleotide ribosomal RNA is filed under the name uncultured bacterium. RNAcentral's name for it is "bacterial SSU rRNA". It matches the Rfam family "Bacterial small subunit ribosomal RNA", at positions 29 to 514 of the family's 1533-position model. The record is from RNAcentral.
AACGAACGCUGGCGGCGUGGCUAAGGCAUGCAAGUCGAACGGACCCUUACGAGGGGUAACCUGAGUUUGGGUUAGUGGCGAACGGGUGGGGAAUGCAUGGAUAACGUACCCCAGACACGGGGAUAGCGGCGGGACGCAAGUCUCUUUAGCGAAAGUGCCGGUAAUACCCGAUGACCCCGUAGGAUCGCAUGAUCCAGCGGGCAAAGCUCCGACGGUCUGUGAGCGAUCCAUGCCCUANCAGCUAGUUGGUGGGGUAACGCCCACCAAGGCGGCGACGGGUAGCGGGCGUGAGAGCGUGGCCCGCCACAUCGGGACUGAGACACGGCCCGGACACCUACGGGUGGCUGCAGCAACGAAUAUUCCGCAAUGGACGAAAGUCUGACGAGCGCGCCGCGUGCAGGAAGAAGUCCCUCGGGAUGUAAACUGCUGUCGGGGUUAGGAAUAAAAUGACCAGCCCCAAAGGAAGCACCGGCUAACUCCGUGCCAGCAG